Molecule: ribosomal RNA, 498 nt
Filed under: uncultured bacterium
Lineage: Bacteria
Description: partial 16S ribosomal RNA
Rfam family: Bacterial small subunit ribosomal RNA
Source: RNAcentral
GGUGAACGCUGGCGGUAUGCCUUACACAUGCAAGUCGAACGGUAACAGGUCUUCGGAUGCUGACGAGUGGCGAACGGGUGAGUAAUACAUCGGAACGUGCCUAGUAGUGGGGGAUAACUACUCGAAAGAGUGGCUAAUACCGCAUGAGAUCUACGGAUGAAAGCAGGGGAUCGCAAGAACUUGUGCUACUAGAGCGGCCGAUGGCAGAUUAGGUAGUUGGCGGGAUAAAAGCUUACCAAGCCGACGAUCUGUAGCUGGUCUGAGAGGACGAUCAGCCACACUGGGACUGAGACACGGCCCAGACUCCUACGGGAGGCAGCAGUGGGGAAUUUUGGACAAUGGGCGCAAGCCUGAUCCAGCAAUGCCGCGUGCAGGAUGAAGGCCUUCGGGUUGUAAACUGCUUUUGUACGGAACGAAAAGCCCUGGGUUAAUACCCUGGGGUCAUGACGGUACCGUAAGAAUAAGCACCGGCUAACUACGUGCCAGCCGCCGCCGUAA